This is a long non-coding RNA of Podarcis raffonei (Aeolian wall lizard), 793 nucleotides long. RefSeq lists it as uncharacterized. The record is from RefSeq and is a predicted model, not a curated record. The transcript has 2 exons. Lineage: Eukaryota; Metazoa; Chordata; Lepidosauria; Squamata; Lacertidae.
ACGUAAAACGAUAAUGAUUUGCGUGCACAGUGAACAAAAUCAGAGGGUAAACGGUGCACAAAUAUGCAACAGAAAAUCCCCACGCUACUUCAUCCUUGGAAAAGUUUUGUUAUUUCCUUUGGCAGGAGCAGGGAAGCUUGCAAGAUGGGAGACCCAUGCUGAAUUUGGAUGCUACGUGAUUAGGAUGAAUGUGAAAUGCACCCCUGCUUACCUGCAAAAUAUCAACCAGGACCACUGGGUUUGUUUGUUUUUUACUCAUUCAUGGAAAUGCUCCUUUACACAUGAAGGAAAUACAUGCCUGAUUUUACUUGCGAAUAGGAACGUAAGAAGGUACGGCUUUUCCUGUAUCCUAUAUCUGCCAUAUGCAGCACUGUUUCCAUUCAGCUGCAGUUCAUCUUCUGCCAAAAGUUAUAUGACUUACUGUCCACUGGGGCUUAGGCAACUGACAUCACUUAUUACAUAAAUUAUGUAUGUUCCAUUGUCAUUACAUUAUUCCACCACAUUCAUUUCAAUGCAGAGGAAACACAAGGCACAUGAGGGAGACCGUAAUCAAUUACGGAUUGUUUGCGGAUUGAAAGGAACAAUAGCGAAUACCUAUCAAAUUCACUGGAUGGAUUCCCGUUCCAUACAUGGGGCAAAUAAGAGAACACCACCAAUUUCCAUUUCUGUUUUGUUUUAGUCCGAAUUCUCCAACAUCCCUACUUGUAAGUCAAGCACGGAUAUGGCCAGCUCUUCCUGGAUACUUGGCAUGUACCCAUUUGUGAUGAAUGAAUAAACCCAGCAGUAAACAUUU